Molecule: ribosomal RNA, 485 nt
Filed under: uncultured bacterium
Lineage: Bacteria
Description: bacterial SSU rRNA
Rfam family: Bacterial small subunit ribosomal RNA
Source: RNAcentral
GACGAACGCUGGCGGCGCGCCUAACACAUGCAAGUCGAACGGAGUUAAUUCACCUGAAGUUUUCGGAUGGACGGAGAGUUAACUUAGUGGCGAACGGGUGAGUAACGCGUGGGUAACCUGCCUUUUAGAGGGGGACAACAGUUGGAAACGACUGCUAAUACCGCAUAAGACCACAGUACCGCAUGGUACAGUGAUCAAAGGAGCAAUCCGCUAAAGAUGGGCCCGCGUCUGAUUAGAUAGUUGGUGGGGUAACGGCCUACCAAGUCGACGAUCAGUAGCCGGACUGAGAGGUUGAUCGGCCACAUUGGGACUGAGACACGGCCCCAGACUCCUACGGGAGGCAGCAGUGGGGAAUAUUGCACAAUGGAGGAAACUCUGAUGCAGCGACGCCGCGUGAGGGAAGAAGGUAUUCGUAUUGUAAACCUCUGUCUUCGGGGUACGAGUAAUGACGGUACCCGAGGAGGAAGCACCGGCUAACUACGUAG